GACGAACGCUGGCGGCGUGCCUAAUACAUGCAAGUUGAGCGCUGAAGGUUGGUACUUGUACCAACUGGAUGAGCAGCGAACGGGUGAGUAACGCGUGGGGAAUCUGCCUUUGAGCGGGGGACAACAUUUGGAAACGAAUGCUAAUACCGCAUAAAAACUUUAAACACAAGUUUUAAGUUUGAAAGAUGCAAUUGCAUCACUCAAAGAUGAUCCCGCGUUGUAUUAGCUAGUUGGUGAGGUAAAGGCUCACCAAGGCGAUGAUACAUAGCCGACCUGAGAGGGUGAUCGGCCACAUUGGGACUGAGACACGGCCCAAACUCCUACGGGAGGCAGCAGUAGGGAAUCUUCGGAAAUGGACGAAAGUCUGAACGAGCAACGCCGCGUGAGUGAAGAAGGUUUUCGGAUCGUAAAACUCUGUUGGUAGAGAAGAACGUUGGUGAGAGUGGAAAGCUCAUCAAGUGACGGUAACUACACAGAAAGGGACGGCUAACUACGUG
This 497-nucleotide ribosomal RNA is filed under the name uncultured bacterium. Its description in RNAcentral is "partial 16S ribosomal RNA". It matches the Rfam family "Bacterial small subunit ribosomal RNA", at positions 28 to 507 of the family's 1533-position model. The record is from RNAcentral.